RNAcentral lists this ribosomal RNA (519 nucleotides) under Cryptoses choloepi. RNAcentral describes it as "partial 16S ribosomal RNA". The record is from RNAcentral. Lineage: Eukaryota; Metazoa; Arthropoda; Insecta; Lepidoptera; Pyralidae.
UAAAGUCUAAUCUGCCCACUGAUAUAAUAUUAAAGGGCUGCAGUAUUUUGACUGUACAAAGGUAGCAUAAUCAUUAGUCUUUUAAUUGAAGACUUGUAUGAAWGAUUGGAUGAAAUAUAAACUGUCUCUAAUAUUAUUAGUUAGAAUUUAAUUUUUUUAUUAAAAAGUAAAAAUAAAUUUAAAAGACGAGAAGACCCUAUAGAGUUUUAUAAUUAAUUUAAUUGAAAUUAUUUAUAAAGAUAAUUUUAAAUUAAUAAAUUAAAAUUAAGUUAAUUAUUUUGUUGGGGUGAUAAAAAAAUAAAAAUAACUUUUUUUAAUAAAUAUAUAUAUAUAUAUAUAUAUAUAUAUAUAUAUUGUAAACAAAAAUAAAUGAUUUUUUGAUCCAGAAUUUUUGAUUAUAAGAAAAAAUUACCUUAGGGAUAACAGCGUAAUUUUUUUUUUUAGUUCAAAUAAGAAAAAGAGUUUGCGACCUCGAUGUUGGAUUAAGGAAAAAUUUAAAUGCAAAAGUUUAAAAUUUUG